AAGUUGUUGCGGUUAAAAAGCUCGUAGUUGGAUCUGUGUGACACGCUGUCGGUUCACCGUUUUGAUGGUGUUUAACUGACAUGUCGUGGCACGUCCUGCCGGUUGGUAACGUGUUCUCCUUCGGGAGUGAUGCGUUUGCCAGUUCCAAUCCUGUCGCGGUGCUCUUCACCGAGUGUCGAGGCGGGCCGGCACGUUUACCUUGAACAAAUUUGAGUGCUUAAAGCAGGCUUAUAUUGCCGGAAAACUGUGUGCAUGGAAUAAUAUAAUAGGACUUCGGUUCUAUUUUGUUGGUUUUCAGAAUCCGAGGUAAUGAUUAAAAGGGCCUGGCGGGGGCAUUAGUAUUGCGACGUGAGAGGUGAAAUUCUUGGACCGUCGCAAGACUAACUGGAGCGAAAGCGUUUGCCAAGAAUGCUUCCAUUAAUCAAGAACGAAAGUUAGAGGUUCGAAGGCGAUCAGAUACCGCCCUAGUUCUAACCAUAAAUGAUGCCAGCCAGCGAUCCGUCGUCGCUCUUUUAUGACGCGACGGGCAGCUUCAGGGAAACUAAAGCUUUUGGGUUCCGGGGGAAGUAUGGUUGCAAAGCUGAAACUUAAAGGAAUUGACGGAAAGGCACCACCAGGAGUGGAGCCUGCGGCUUAAUUUGACUCAACACGGGAAAUCUCACCAGGCCAGAACACCAGGUGGAUUGACAGAUUGAGAGCUCUUUCUUGAUUUGGUGGG
RNAcentral lists this ribosomal RNA (718 nucleotides) under Trichadenotecnum castum. RNAcentral's name for it is "SSU rRNA". It matches the Rfam family "Eukaryotic small subunit ribosomal RNA", at positions 607 to 1274 of the family's 1831-position model. Lineage: Eukaryota; Metazoa; Arthropoda; Insecta; Psocodea; Psocidae. The record is from RNAcentral. RNAcentral also lists the same sequence under 1 other name.